CUUUCCGGGGUAAAAAUUGAAUAAAAGUCGUAACAAGGUUUCCGUAGGUGAACCUGCGGAAGGAUCAUUACAGUAUUCUUUUGCCAGCGCUUAAUUGCGCGGCGAAAAACCUUACACACUAUGUUUUUUUAAUUUGAAACUAUUGCUUUGGUCUGGCUUAGAAAUAGGUUGGGCCAAAGGUUUUAUCAAAACUUCAAUAUUUAUUAUUGAAUUGUUAUUUUUAAUUUUAUGUCAAUUUGUUGAUUAAUAUCAAAAAUCUUCAAAACUUUCAACAACGGAUCUCUUGGUUCUCGCAUCGAUGAAGAACGCAGCGAAAUGCGAUAAGUAAUAUGAAUUGCAGAUUUUCGUGAAUCAUCGAAUCUUUGAACGCACAUUGCGCCCUUUGGUAUUCCAAAGGGCAUGCCUGUUUGAGCGUCAUUUCUCUCUCAAAUCUUCGGAUUUGGUUUUGAGUGAUACUCUUAGUCAGACUAAGCGUUUGCUUGAAAUGUAUUGGCAUGAGUGGUACUAGAUAGUGCUGAACUGUUUUCAAUGUAUUAGGUUUAUCCAACUCAUUGACCAGUAAAGUAUUUGUUUAUUACACAGGCUCGGCCUUACAACAACAAACAAAGUUGACCUCAAAUCAGUAGGACUCCCCAGUU
Molecule: unclassified non-coding RNA, 638 nt
Filed under: Dujonia railenensis
Lineage: Eukaryota; Fungi; Ascomycota; Pichiomycetes; Serinales; Debaryomycetaceae
Description: [Candida] railenensis sequence contains ITS1, 5.8S rRNA gene and ITS2
Rfam family: 5.8S ribosomal RNA (bases 264-417)
Source: RNAcentral